Molecule: small RNA, 965 nt
Filed under: Arabidopsis thaliana (thale cress)
Lineage: Eukaryota; Viridiplantae; Streptophyta; Magnoliopsida; Brassicales; Brassicaceae
Description: ATSL295240
Source: RNAcentral
AUUGAAAGAGAAAUUUGCAUUUCUAACCUACAAAAAUAUUAUAAUUAGGUAACUAACACUCUAAAAAAAAGUAACUAAUAUUGUUUGUAUUUUCUGUAAUAAUGCCAAUACUAUCCAUGUUUGAAAUACACGCUCUUCAUCUUCUCCCUUCCAUAGAAAACCAACUAUUCUCUUUCACCAACUAUUAACUUUUGAACAUGGGAUUGGUUCUAAUAAAAUCCAGUCUACCUUUUAUGAAGCUUUUGAUUUUGCCAACGAUUAACAAAAGUGUAUUGGGCACAGAAGCAAGACAGUUAAUUUCCAGAAAUGACAUUUAGGUUUUGCUCGAAAUUGAAUUAGAGGUUUUGAUUUACAGAGGCAAGACUUCAGAUUUUGUUGGAGUCUUUGGUUUUUUAAGAGACUUUGGUUUUGUUUUUUGAAAUUGAAUUAGUCGAGAUUCUCGCUAAUAAACGCUGAAUUUGAUCAAUUUUUGUUCUCUGUUUCCUUCAUUUGAUUUUUUUUUUUGGGUCUCUCUAAUUUUUUGGCGUCGUUGUUUCCUUAUCCUGAACCAAUAAAUCGAUUUUGAUUUUGAGAAAUUUUUGAGAGAUACUAUUCUAUUUUGUGAAUAUACUAUUUACGUAUACCUUGUACUAUAUACGUUUUAAAAUGAAUUGUUUGUUUUGAUUAAGGAUGUGAAAUGAUUUGAUUAGUGUUUUAUAUUAAAAGUCUUGGGUUCCCUAUAUACUAUCUUAGGGUUUAAUAUCCUUCCAUCAAAAAGUAUUUAAUUGAUUAUUUGGAUUCAUCAAAACAAACGUUUCUAUUUGAACAAAUAUAUACUAUUCUAUCUUUCUAUGAUGAUCUUUAUAGAAUUUGAUACCACUAUUUAUUUUUUUAAAAAUUCGUUUCCGAUUUUUAAAAUUCAAAUCAUAUUAGAUAAACAAAAAAAAAUCUGUUUUUUCAAUAGUAUUAUUAACUUUAACCAAGUA